GACGAACGCUGGCGGCGUGCUUAACACAUGCAAGUCGAACGGACAGGCCCUGCUUUUGUUGGUUUCUCGAGUGGCGAACGGGUGAGUAACACGUGUGUAACCUGCCCUUGACUUUGGGAUAUCUUCAGGAAACUGGGGCUCAUACCGGAUAUGAGCUCCUGCUGCAUGGUGGGGGUUGGAAAGUUUCGGCGGUUGGGGAUGGACUCGCGGCUUAUCAGCUUGUUGGUGGGGUAGUGGCUUACCAAGGCUUUGACGGGUAGCCGGCCUGAGAGGGUGACCGGCCACAUUGGGACUGAGAUACGGCCCAGACUCCUACGGGAGGCAGCAGUGGGGAAUAUUGCACAAUGGGCGGAAGCCUGAGGCAGAAACGCCGCGUGCGGGAUGACGGCCUUCGGGUUGUAAACCGAUUUCGCAUGUGACGAAGCGUGAGUGACGGUAAUGGGUAAAGAAGCACCGGCUAACUACGUG
This 468-nucleotide ribosomal RNA is filed under the name uncultured bacterium. RNAcentral describes it as "partial 16S ribosomal RNA". It matches the Rfam family "Bacterial small subunit ribosomal RNA", at positions 28 to 507 of the family's 1533-position model. The record is from RNAcentral.